UGCCCAGAAUUCCUGAAAGAGUUGUUAAGAAAGGGGAUCAAGUAUGAGGAGGACCCUGCCAAGAGGCGCAAGAAGAAUUAAAGUUGCAAACGGUGUAGAAGCUGAAGUCGAAGCCAUUGCAGAAUUUCAUUUAGAAUUACAUAGUGGCUUUGUACUUUGUUUGAGAGAUGUUCUUUAUGUACCGUCUUUGCAACGAAACUUAAUAAGUGUGUCUAAAUUAGAUGAUGAUGCUAUUGCUUGUCAUUUUGGUGAUGGCAAGUGUAAGAUACAAGUUAAUUCAGAAUGUGUUGGUCUUGCCUUCCGACAAGACAAAUUAUAUUUGCUUUCAUUA
Panicum virgatum (switchgrass) is the source of this 331-nucleotide long non-coding RNA. RefSeq lists it as uncharacterized. The record is from RefSeq and is a predicted model, not a curated record. NCBI's taxonomy places the organism in Eukaryota, Viridiplantae, Streptophyta, Magnoliopsida, Poales, Poaceae. The transcript is spliced from 2 exons.